RNAcentral lists this ribosomal RNA (253 nucleotides) under uncultured bacterium. RNAcentral describes it as "partial 16S ribosomal RNA". It matches the Rfam family "Bacterial small subunit ribosomal RNA", at positions 524 to 776 of the family's 1533-position model. The record is from RNAcentral.
UACGUAGGGGGCAAGCGUUGUCCGGAUUUAUUGGGCGUAAAGAGCGUGUAGGCGGCCAUACAGGUCCGUUGUGAAAACUGGAGGCUUAACCUCCAGACGUCGAUGGAAACCGUAUGGCUAGAGUCCGGAAGAGGAGAGUGGAAUUCCUGGUGUAGCGGUGAAAUGCGCAGAUAUCAGGAAGAACACCCGUGGCGAAGGCAGCUCUCUGGGACGGUACUGACGCUGAGACGCGAAAGCGUGGGGAGCGAACAGG